CCUGCGUGGCCGAGGGCGAGCCGGCCACCAGGACGCGCCGGCGACGACGCAGGCCAUGGAGGGAUUUGGCUGUCAUCGUCCUCCACGCGCAGCUCGCGCAACGGGGAUCCCUCCUUCCCGUAGUCCUCCACCUGGAUGUUCCGCCGCGGCAAUACUCCGAUGUGCUGCGUCUGGCGGUCUCCCCCGACGACCUCGCCGGGAACAAGUCCGCCCCCGUGUGGCCGACCUGAGCCCACAAGAAUCGACGCUGCUAUGUGGUGUGGUGGAGGUAGAGUGGCCCUUUGGUCCUGGAGGAUGGGAAGACGAGGUGCACGUUCUACAUACUGACCCAUUAGGGCCCCAAGUUAAGUGCUCUAGUGGCUGUGAGAUACGGACCUGGGUCCACAAGAACCAACACUGCUAUGUGGCGUGGUGGAGGUAGGGCGCUCCCGACCUUUGGUGCUGGAGGAUGGGAAGACGAUGCAUGCAGAUAUAUCGGGCUUGGUCAAGAAUCGACACUGCUAAGGGAAACUUGAAGAAGAUGUUGGCCAAGGCUGAAUCCGAACUCUCAGCAACCGUGUAUUUUUUUUGACGAUAGUGUUCUUCUUUGGUUACAACCAUACUGGCAUCAUCAAGCACACCAUGCAGAUCAUCUGUCGAGCACCAGGAUGACGACUUGGAGGAUUUGCAUCACUCCCGUAGGAAGCUUUCCAGGCGUAGUUAUGUUCAUGGUUAGACCUGAAUACAUUCUUUAUGCCUUUGAACAUGCUGCUUAUUACGAGAAGGCUAAGAAGAAGAUCAACCGUCAAGUUGCUCCUCUGGGGGCACAUCUUCUUCUAGGGGCUUACUUGGUGGAAUGCCUGGUGGAGUAUUUCUGUUUUUGCUUGUUCGAAAUGAUGUGCUACUGCUUCUUAUUAUCUCGAAAGAUUGGUAUCUGCACCUAAGUGGUUUGUUUGUGAGAUGGAAACCGUUGCUAUCUCUAGUCAAAAUUCCCUGCUAUAAUAUAAGAAAGAAAUUUAGAGUCAGGCCAUGAGUAGGCUUUAGUCUGACCUCCAAACAAACAAAUGAAGGAAGUGAUUUCCAUCACCUCUUGUGGUAAGAAGGCAAUGCAAACAUUCUUUGUGAUCUGGCCUGAGUAGGUUUGAAGCAUGAUGUGUGAAACUAGUGUUGAUUUGGUUGAUCUGUCUCUGUUUCCUGACCUGAAUGUUUUGGCUUUAUCAAAUCAAUGCAGGUGGUGGACGGAGGACGUGCCGGCGACCGAACCUUGUGUUUAGUCCGGUGGUGGAAGGUAUCUGCUGGGACACGGAGUUGGAGUGACUUGUCGUUGUUGGGGAUGGUGAGUCGCCGGCGAGGACGACAUGGCCAGGCCAUGUGCUGUGUCUAAUCUUUGUCUGAUUUAGUCGGGCGUCCAUCUCUAGGCUGUUGCGCGGCUGCUUGUUUGUCAUCCGGUGAGACCUCUCAUCAUCAAACACACCAUGCCGAUCAUGUGCCCUGCAGGGGAAGGCGGCAUGGUUGCCAGUGAGGACGACAUGUCCAGGGUAUGGUGCCGUGGCUCAUCUUUGGCUGGUUCAGUCUGGCGUCCAUGUGGGGGAUGUUGUGCUGCUGCUGCUUGUUCGUGUAUUUGAAAUAAUGUUUUGAACGGUUGUAAUAUAGUUGACAUGCUGAGAAAGCUUGCCACAAAGCUGUGUAUGUGUUGUGCGUGCUGUCAGUUGAUGGUAUCCUUUUGUCGACGUGUGGUGUGGUCUGGCUGUCUCGACAGCAGCAGCUGGUGCGUCUUUCUAUGUGAAAAAAAAUGCUUCAGUUGCUGUAAUAUUGGUGUAUUGUAAUGCUCCGGUCGAGAAGCUAUGUGGAAAAAAAUACGCUUU
Molecule: long non-coding RNA, 1844 nt
Organism: Lolium rigidum
Lineage: Eukaryota; Viridiplantae; Streptophyta; Magnoliopsida; Poales; Poaceae
Exons: 7
Source: RefSeq, a predicted model, not a curated record